UACAGAGGUCUCAAGCGUUGUUCGGAUUCAUUGGGCGUAAAGGGUGUGUAGGUGGCGCCGUAAGUCGGGUGUGAAAUUUCGGAGCUUAACUCCGAAACUGCAUUUGAUACUGCGGUGCUUGAGGACUGGAGAGGAGACUGGAAUUCACGGUGUAGCAGUGAAAUGCGUAGAUAUCGUGAGGAAGACCAGUGGCGAAAGCGACUUCCUGGACCAGUACCGACGUUCAGGCACGAAAGCGUGGGGAGCAAACAGG
This 253-nucleotide ribosomal RNA is filed under the name uncultured bacterium. Its description in RNAcentral is "partial 16S ribosomal RNA". It matches the Rfam family "Bacterial small subunit ribosomal RNA", at positions 524 to 776 of the family's 1533-position model. The record is from RNAcentral.